AUUUUUAUUUUUUAAGAAGAAACAUAGAUCACUCCCUUUAUAAUCCUGAUGUUUUGACCCUCAUUCUGGUUUAAAUAUCUGAUUAAAAUAACUAUUUUGUACAAUAAAUGGAUAGAUGGAUACAGUUCCAGGGCAGUACAUAUCAUAUUCUAUCUUGAUCUUGAUGAAUAUCAUCAAUGCAUCGGGAUUGACAAGAGUAUAUCUAAAAUGUUAUUUAUUUGGGUUAAGUUUAAUUUAGGUGAUUUUAUAAUGAUCAUUAUCAGUGGAUGAUUUCAUGAUUUUUAAAUUCCUGAGUUUAAUUUGAGUUAAAUUUUUAUGGUUACUUUAUAGAGACAAAUUCAGACUAGGUACUUAUUUUUAAUUUGGGCCAAUUUUUGGCUUUUGGCCACUUCUUAUUCUUUUUGGGAGAAUACCAUCUACUUUGAACUUCAAUUUAUAUUCUAUACUAUAUUCUAUUGACUGCAUUUCUAUAGGUUUUAUUUCUUUGGUAAAGUAUACCCUCCACUGAUAAUUUUGCUUCUAUUUUUGUUUAUGGUUUGGUUAACUAUCAGUUUUCUACAGUAGCUUGACUCCCAUAUUUUCUUUAUUAUGGAAAUAAUAUCAUUAUUCAUCGAUUCCAUAAAAUAUUCCAUUAGUUUUAUUUCUAUAAGUCUUCUUUUACCAGUAUUAUUUUUCUAAUGGUAUUUAAUCCUUUUUUGCUUGUGGAAUUUCUUGGAUGGAAUUUCAAUUUUUAUGGAUUCAUUUCCAUGCCAUUUUUUUAGAUCAUAUGCCAUGAAUUUCUGUAAUUUUGCUUUAUUUUAUGUUUGUUCAAAUAUAAUUUAAACACAUUUAAAAAUCUUAAAAAAAGGUCUCAUUUCUCAUCAAUUCCUGGCGCAUUCGCCAUUUAUUUAAAAAAAAUUGACAUCCACAGUGACAAUUAAUUUUCCUGAUCAACAUCGACUCCAGAGCAUCAUAACUAGCCUCCCCUAAGAGGAGGAGACCCGGGUCACCCCCUAACCCUGAUGUUCGGCCAUCGAUGACCUAUGUAGCAUGCAUAGGUACCCAAGGGAGUCACCACCCUCUGGUUUACGAGCUAGGUGUUCUAACACUAGAGGCUUCGGCCGGAUACGACUUGGCACCCAAGCUCCGAGACUUCUUCGUGCACGUAUUCCGUGACCCUCGAAGAGGCAGGGGGCGGGAUAUCGGACACAUUGAAGAUGAUGAGGGGGGUCCGCCUGUAGGGGGUCCCGGUGGAUGUCCGCUCGAUGGGUGACGAGGGUGACCCGAGACGAGGCUGCUUAGCUGGGAUGGGAACUGACUGGCGAGGCUUAAUCGUCGGACAAGGGUUAAAUCUGAUGAAGGGAGGCGAACUUAUAUGCUCUGGAGGAUUUUUCUUUAUUUGUGUCGUAUUUUGACUAGACAUCUGUUAGAGGUGGUUAAGCAUAACUUUUUGUCAAUUGUCCUGUUUUUAUUUACCACAUACUUAUUUUUUUAAUGUCUUGUUUUUAAUACUUUUUGCUUCGUUUUGCUUUUGGCCUACCUCGCUUUAUUUUCCCUGCCAUGGUGUACUAGUACUAUUAUUGUCUUUCUCUUUUUUGUCUCCUGUACUUCCUUAUGGCAAUGUGAUCAUUCAUCAAUUCUAUAAGUUCUUCUAUUGAUUGUAUUGCUAUUUUUUCUUAUAUGUACACAUUUGUAUAAUUUUUUUUGCCAUUCUACUUUGGCUUUUCUAAUUUUUUCUUUUCUAUUCAUUUACACACAUAAUUGUUUAUAAUUUAUCAUGCCUCUAUUUCUUUAUUUGUCUCCCAUAUUAUUGUAUGUAUUUCUCAAUAAUCAUUCUUUUGUAUUGUGUCAUUCUGUGUUGAGACUUCUCUAAUGCAUUUUAUUUCUAUUGUCUAUAGAGUUGUAAUUUUGUAGUCAUUUUCAUGUUUUUUUUCCAGUUCUCCAUAUCAUACAUAGUAGCCCUUGUUCAUUGUAUUUUUAAAUUUAUUUUUUAAUUAUAUUAUUGUUAAGUUAAGACCCCCAAGUCUUUGAUUUUAUUGCUACUGAUGCCUACAUAGAAUUGUGUUGUUUCUGUAUUCAUUUUCCGAAUGAUUUCCUUCUCAUUCCGUUUAAAAUUGUUUUUGAAUGGGAGCUUGUACUGCUUUGGAACAAUCAUUAUUUAGCACAGCUAUACUUCAACUCAACCACACUCUUCAAGAUGCCAUUGGGUUGAUUAAAUUCAACAUUCAUCAGCAGAUUGAGAUUGAAAUUCAUCAUCGAAGAGGAGGCUAAAUAGUUUUAGAAUCAAAACUUCAAGAAUUCAAGAUCGAGAAGGGCAGCCAGAAGAUUUAUUUACCUGUACAUAGACAUCGCACAUGUCCAUC
RNAcentral lists this long non-coding RNA (2342 nucleotides) under Sitophilus oryzae (rice weevil). RNAcentral describes it as "uncharacterized LOC115888068". Lineage: Eukaryota; Metazoa; Arthropoda; Insecta; Coleoptera; Curculionidae. The record is from RNAcentral.